RNAcentral lists this ribosomal RNA (339 nucleotides) under Trichocladium crispatum. RNAcentral describes it as "eukaryotic LSU rRNA". The stretch from base 1 to 124 matches the Rfam family "5.8S ribosomal RNA", at positions 31 to 154 of the family's 154-position model. The record is from RNAcentral. Lineage: Eukaryota; Fungi; Ascomycota; Sordariomycetes; Sordariales; Chaetomiaceae.
CAUCGAUGAAGAACGCAGCGAAAUGCGAUAAGUAAUGUGAAUUGCAGAAUUCAGUGAAUCAUCGAAUCUUUGAACGCACAUUGCGCCCGCCAGUAUUCUGGCGGGCAUGCCUGUUCGAGCGUCAUUUCAACCAUCAAGCCCCCGGCUUGUGUUGGGGACCUGCGGCUGCCGCAGGCCCUGAAAACCAGUGGCGGGCUCGCUAGUCACUCCGAGCGUAGUAAUACAUCUCGCUCAGGGCGUGCUGCGGGUUCCGGCCGUUAAAAGCCUUAUUUACCCAAGGUUGACCUCGGAUCAGGUAGGAAGACCCGCUGAACUUAAGCAUAUCAAUAAGCGGAGGAA